CGCUGCCUGCAGAGCCAAAGGGCCUGUUUGUUUUUGCUGUUACUUAUCAGAAAGGUUUAUUUGCAAUUGUUUGAGGGGGGGGGGGAAACCCCUGUGUAGCCACAGGCAGACAAGCUCAGUGCUCAGGAACAUAAUGGCUGGAGCCCGCGGGCCCAUAUGCUCGCCAUCCUGGGAGGUGGAAGGCCAGCUCUGAUCACAUCCAGCUGCUCAGGAUACGACUGAUCAGGUCCUCACUACCAUGUUUUUGGGCAAGAUACUUUUAGAAGAACACCUCAACCAGAUCAUGCUCUCAAAGACCCGAGCCUUCACUGAUGGCAGGCAAUAAUUUUGCAUUUUGGAGUAUCUUCUUACUCUUAUGCAUGGCAACAUUUAACAGCACACCACCAUCUGCCACAGAAGCACAGACCACUAAUGGCAUCAUAAGAAUAAGUCUAAUUCUACACAGCUGUCUCAAAAUAAGUGGACCAUCAACCAUGUUUUGCUAUCAGCCAUCCCUUUUACUUUGACAAGGAGCACAACACUGAGAUACCACAAGACCAGUCCUCCUACAAGGCGGAUUCAUUCUCACUGAGCAUCCAAAGUUCAACUUGGAGGACAAGGAAAAUGAGAGAAAUGGCUAGUGACACUAAGCCUUGAUAGGGUCAUGGGCUUUGCAACAGCUCCGACAUGCAGGCAGGGGAAAACAUCACUCCCAAAGUAAAGGGACAGAGGAAAGAAAUGGAGGAAAGAAAAAGGAAAGGUUGAUGGACAGUUGGACUUGUUGAGGGUGAAAUCAAUUAAAGUGCAUCAAAUCCGGAGUUCAUGCUUUUUCAAAGUGACAAAUAUGUGCUGGAAACUGAGAAAGAUGAGGGGAAAAUAAUGUCUUUGACCUCCCGGAGACCGGCUGUUCCUUCCGUCAGAGGAGCCAGAAGUGAAGUGAGAUGCGUUCAUGAUAAAUUGUAACAGCCAGGCAGCCACCUCAAAAAAGAACGAGGUGAAAAGGUUACAGAAGGGACCCAAAAUGCGAAGAAUUCAACCAAACAUCAAGAUAAAUCAACUCAGGCCCUUGUGUGUGCAUACCCAGCCUUCACAGAGCUGCUGUGGCUCAGCUCAGCUCGUGCAGCCUUGAAGUGUAAGAGAGAGACACACAUCUUGUUUACAACAGCUCUGGAAAACACCCUUACAAAGGGCUGGCUCACCUCAGCCUUCCCAGGGGAAAGGAUGCAGUGGCCACCCCACCUGCCACCCUGUUUUGGAGUUUGUUAGACAAUUAGGACAUUUCUUUGAGGCACACAAGUAUCCCUGACAAUCCUGUGUUCAGCUAAACUCAGCUUUCCAAGAGCUGGAUGCCUCUCUCCCAGUAAAGCAAACAAUAAAUUAUUCACACAUCUGAAAGUUUCA
This 1380-nucleotide long non-coding RNA is filed under the name Manacus vitellinus (golden-collared manakin). RNAcentral's name for it is "lncRNA (ENSMVIG00005006863.1)". The record is from RNAcentral. Lineage: Eukaryota; Metazoa; Chordata; Aves; Passeriformes; Pipridae.